Long non-coding RNA from Rhipicephalus microplus (southern cattle tick), 176 nucleotides. NCBI's taxonomy places the organism in Eukaryota, Metazoa, Arthropoda, Arachnida, Ixodida, Ixodidae. The record is from RefSeq and is a predicted model, not a curated record.
UAAUAUAUUGUUUUUGCUUGUUUGUUUCCAGGACUGAAAAUGGUGCUCAUCUUUGUGCUCCUCUCUGCAAUCACGCAUCUAUCAAGUGCUAACUCACCACCAAAGUUUACAAAAACUAUUGACCUUGCUGUGAUACCCGAGAACACGCCAAUUGGCACAUCUGUAUUUCGCCUAGA